This 497-nucleotide ribosomal RNA is filed under the name uncultured bacterium. RNAcentral describes it as "partial 16S ribosomal RNA". It matches the Rfam family "Bacterial small subunit ribosomal RNA", at positions 28 to 507 of the family's 1533-position model. The record is from RNAcentral.
GAUGAACGCUGGCGGCGUGCCUAAUACAUGCAAGUCGAGCGAACAGACGAGGAGCUUGCUCCUCUGACGUUAGCGGCGGACGGGUGAGUAACACGUGGAUAACCUACCUAUAAGACUGGGAUAACUUCGGGAAACCGGAGCUAACACCGGAUAAUAUAUUGAACCGCAUGGUUCAAUAGUGAAAGACGGUUUUGCUGUCACUUAUAGAUGGAUCCGCGCCGCAUUAGCUAGUUGGUAAGGUAACGGCUUACCAAGGCAACGAUGCGUAGCCGACCUGAGAGGGUGAUCAGCCACACUGGAACUGAGACACGGUCCAGACUCCUACGGGAGGCAGCAGUAGGGAAUCUUCCGCAAUGGGCGAAAGCUUGACGGAGCAACGCCGCGUGAGUGAUGAAGGUCUUCGGAUCGUAAAACUCUGUUAUUAGGGAAGAACAAAUGUGUAAGUAACUAUGCACGUCUUGACGGUACCUAAUCAGAAAGCCACGGCUAACUACGUG